GACGAACGCUGGCGGCGUGCUUAACACAUGCAAGUCGAACGGAGUGGCGAACGGGUGAGUAACACGUGGGUGAUCUGCCUUGCACUUCGGGAUAAGCUUGGGAAACUGGGUCUAAUACCGGAUAGUGCAAGAUGAGCUCGCGGCCUAUCUGCUUGUGGGUGGUGUAAUGGCCUACCAAGGCGUAGACGGGUAGCCGGCCUGAGAGGGGGUACGGCCACAUUGGGACUGAGGUACGGAGCAGUCGCCAACGGGGGGCAGCAGUGGGGAAUAUUGCACAAUGGGCGGAAGUCUGAUGCAGCGACGCUGCGUGGGGGAUGAAGGCCUUCGGGUUGUAAACUCCUUUCGACAGGGACGCGGUACCUGUAUAAGAAGCACCGGCUAACUACGUGCCAGCAGCCGCGGUAAUAC
RNAcentral lists this ribosomal RNA (408 nucleotides) under uncultured bacterium. Its description in RNAcentral is "partial 16S ribosomal RNA". It matches the Rfam family "Bacterial small subunit ribosomal RNA", at positions 28 to 526 of the family's 1533-position model. The record is from RNAcentral.